This 21-nucleotide non-coding RNA is filed under the name Rattus norvegicus (Norway rat). Lineage: Eukaryota; Metazoa; Chordata; Mammalia; Rodentia; Muridae. The record is from RNAcentral.
GUACAGAAUGCCUCAGGUCCU